ACGGGAGGCAGCAGUAAGGAAUAUUGGUCAAUGGACGCAAGUCUGAACCAGCCAUGCCGCGUGGAGGAUGAAGGUCCUCUGGAUUGUAAACUUCUUUUAUUUGGGAAGAAAUCUAUCUUUUCUUGGAUAGUUGACGGUACCAGAUGAAUAAGCACCGGCUAACUCCGUGCCAGCAGCCGCGGUAAUACGGAGGGUGCAAGCGUUAUCCGGAUUCACUGGGUUUAAAGGGUGCGUAGGUGGGCAAGUAAGUCAGUGGUGAAAUCUCCGGGCUUAACCCGGAAACUGCCAUUGAUACUAUUUGUCUUGAAUAUCCUGGAGGUGAGCGGAAUAUGUCAUGUAGCGGUGAAAUGCUUAGAUAUGACAUAGAACACCCAUUGCGAAGGCAGCUCACUACGGGAUUAUUGACACUGAGGCACGAAAGCGUGGGGAUCAAACAGGAUUAGAUACCCUGGUA
RNAcentral lists this ribosomal RNA (454 nucleotides) under uncultured Saprospirales bacterium. Its description in RNAcentral is "bacterial SSU rRNA". It matches the Rfam family "Bacterial small subunit ribosomal RNA", at positions 341 to 792 of the family's 1533-position model. The record is from RNAcentral. Lineage: Bacteria; Pseudomonadati; Bacteroidota; Saprospiria; Saprospirales.